CCAGCAGCCGCGGUAAUACGUAGGGUGCGAGCGUUAAUCGGAAUUACUGGGCGUAAAGCGUGCGCAGGCGGCGCGUUAAGACAGGUGUGAAAGCCCCGAGCUUAACUUGGGAAUGGCGCUGGAAACUGGUGGGCUUGAGUUCUUGAGGGGAAGCUGGAAUUCCAGGUGUAGGGGUGAAAUCUGUAGAUAUUGGGAAGAACACCGGUGGCGAAGGCGGCUCACUGGACCGAUACUGACGCUGAGGCGCGAAAGCGUGGGGAGCAAACAGGAUUAGAUACCCUGGUA
RNAcentral lists this ribosomal RNA (285 nucleotides) under uncultured Alphaproteobacteria bacterium. RNAcentral's name for it is "partial 16S ribosomal RNA". It matches the Rfam family "Bacterial small subunit ribosomal RNA", at positions 508 to 792 of the family's 1533-position model. The record is from RNAcentral. Lineage: Bacteria; Pseudomonadati; Pseudomonadota; Alphaproteobacteria.